AGAAUCAACGCUGGCGGCGUGCCUAACACAUGCAAGUCGAACGAGAAAGUGGAGCAAUCCAUGAGUAAAGUGGCGACCGGGUGAGUAACACGUGACUAACCUACCUUCAAGUGGGGGAUAACCUCGGGAAACCGGGGCUAAUACCGCAUAACAUCUUUGGAGUGGAAAUUCUGGAGAUCAAAGGAGCAAUUCGCUGGAAGAGGGGGUCGCGGCUGAUUAGCUAGUUGGCGGGUAAUGGCCCACCAAGGCUUUGAUCGGUAG
This 261-nucleotide ribosomal RNA is filed under the name uncultured bacterium. Its description in RNAcentral is "partial small subunit ribosomal RNA". It matches the Rfam family "Bacterial small subunit ribosomal RNA", at positions 26 to 286 of the family's 1533-position model. The record is from RNAcentral.